Molecule: ribosomal RNA, 608 nt
Filed under: uncultured bacterium
Lineage: Bacteria
Description: bacterial SSU rRNA
Rfam family: Bacterial small subunit ribosomal RNA
Source: RNAcentral
GGGCCCGCACAAGCAGCGGAGCAUGUGGUUUAAUUCGAAGCAACGCGAAGAACCUUACCCAGACUUGACAUCUCCUGAAUUAAUCGUAAUGGAUGAAAUCCCUUCGGGGACAGGAAGACAGGUGGUGCAUGGUUGUCGUCAGCUCGUGUCGUGAGAUGUUGGGUUAAGUCCCGCAACGAGCGCAACCCUUAUCAUUAGUUGCUAACAUUUAGUUGAGCACUCUAGUGAGACUGCCCGGGUUAACCGGGAGGAAGGUGGGGAUGACGUCAAAUCAUCAUGCCCCUUAUGUCUGGGGCUACACACGUGCUACAAUGGUAGGAACAAAGAGAUGCAAGACCGCAAGGUGGAGCCAAACUUCAAAACCUAUCCCAGUUCGGAUUGUAGGCUGAAACUCGCCUACAUGAAGCUGGAGUUGCUAGUAAUCGCGAAUCAGAAUGUCGCGGUGAAUACGUUCCCGGGCCUUGUACACACCGCCCGUCACACCAUGAGAGCUGGUAACACCCGAAGUCCGUGAGGUAACCUUUAUGGAGCCAGCGGCCGAAGGUGGGAUUAGUGAUUGGGGUGAAGUCGUAACAAGGUAGCCGUAGGAGAACCUGCGGCUGGAUCAC